UACGUAGGGUGCAGACGUUAAUCGGAAUUACUGGGCGUAAAGCGUGCGCAGGCGGUCUUUUAAGUCAGAUGUGAAAUCCCCGGGCUUAACCUGGGAACUGCGUUUGAAACUGAAAGGCUAGAGUGUGGCAGAGGGGGGUGGAAUUCCACGUGUAGCAGUGAAAUGCGUAGAGAUGUGGAGGAACACCGAUGGCGAAGGCAGCCCCCUGGGCUAACACUGACGCUCAUGCACGAAAGCGUGGGGAGCAAACAGG
This 253-nucleotide ribosomal RNA is filed under the name uncultured bacterium. Its description in RNAcentral is "partial 16S ribosomal RNA". It matches the Rfam family "Bacterial small subunit ribosomal RNA", at positions 524 to 776 of the family's 1533-position model. The record is from RNAcentral.